CUUUUGAUAUGAUGUCCUUCUGUUUGCAUUUGGAAAGGAAGAUGAUGUUUGUCUGUAUCUGUAUGAGGUUUUUCAGGAAGUUGAUGGAUUUCCACUCCUUACAGCUAAAUGCAGGUGUUGUCUCGAAUGUACAAA
Gopherus evgoodei (Goodes thornscrub tortoise) is the source of this 135-nucleotide long non-coding RNA. RefSeq lists it as uncharacterized. NCBI's taxonomy places the organism in Eukaryota, Metazoa, Chordata, Testudines, Testudinidae. The record is from RefSeq and is a predicted model, not a curated record. The transcript is spliced from 4 exons.